This 274-nucleotide ribosomal RNA is filed under the name uncultured bacterium. RNAcentral describes it as "partial 16S ribosomal RNA". It matches the Rfam family "Archaeal small subunit ribosomal RNA", at positions 473 to 747 of the family's 1478-position model. The record is from RNAcentral.
AAACCAGCACCUCAAGUGGUCAGGAGGAUUAUUGAGCCUAAAGCAUCCGUAGCCUGUUCUGUAAGUUUCCGGUUAAAUCCAUUAGCUCAACUAAUGGGCCGCCGAAAAUACUGUGGAACUAGGGAGUGGGAGAGGUAGACGGUACUCGGUAGGAAGGGGUAAAAUCCUUUGAUCUAUUGAUGACCACCUGUGGCGAAGGCGGUCUACCAGAACACGUUCGACGGUGAGGGAUGUAAGCUGGGGGAGCAAACCGGAUUAGAAACCCGAGUAGUCC